GACAAGUGUUUGCCGUAGGCGUGUGUAUGCCGUAGGUUCCGUGGUUGGUGCGUAAGUGUUGGGCGGAGUGGUGUCUGUGGCGGGUUGUCACGUCGGGAGGGAAAACGCAUGGCGCAACCCUGAUCGUGCUUCCGAUACGGGACUACUAGAGGUAGGCAUGGGAGAACGGAAUUCCUGGGGUAGCGGUGGAAGGCGCAGAUAUCAGGAGGAACACCGGUGGCGAAGGCGGUUCUCUGGGCAUUACCUGACGCUGAGGAGCGAAAGCAUGGGGAGCGAACAGGAUUAGAUACCCGUGUAGUC
This 300-nucleotide ribosomal RNA is filed under the name uncultured Carnobacterium sp. RNAcentral's name for it is "bacterial SSU rRNA". The stretch from base 59 to 300 matches the Rfam family "Bacterial small subunit ribosomal RNA", at positions 554 to 795 of the family's 1533-position model. The record is from RNAcentral. Lineage: Bacteria; Bacillati; Bacillota; Bacilli; Lactobacillales; Carnobacteriaceae.